Molecule: non-coding RNA, 108 nt
Organism: Ricinus communis (castor bean)
Lineage: Eukaryota; Viridiplantae; Streptophyta; Magnoliopsida; Malpighiales; Euphorbiaceae
Source: Rfam
AGACCAUGGUGUGGGCAACACCUUAACAAGUCCUUGAAGCGCUCCCAGGCUUCGUACAUCGAUUCUCCUUCACCCUGCACAAAAGAAGAUAUGAUAUGAAUCAAGGCU